UGUACAGAGUACUUCUUCUAACCCUAAAGCUCUCUGGCUUCCUGUACGGUAUUUAUACUGUUUUGUCUUAGGCUUUCAGUAUAUUACAGGAGGUUUUCCGCGUUUCCGAUGCUUCUAAAAAAAAGCUGUAGAGUACUCUGAUGCUCGGUCUCACAGGUUUGACUGUUUGUGCGCGGACAGUCCGACUGCCGCGAAGAGUUCAACUCUGCUGCACAUGCGUCGGAUCUGUGGGCGUUCAGCACGCUGAGCAGAAUAAAUUGAGCAUGGCGAACUUUUGCGGACCUCUCCACUGAUCCUGCAAAUAAGCCCGCGCUCAGACACUC
This 323-nucleotide small RNA is filed under the name Sinocyclocheilus anshuiensis. RNAcentral's name for it is "Vertebrate telomerase RNA (ENSSANG00000049052.1)". The record is from RNAcentral. Lineage: Eukaryota; Metazoa; Chordata; Actinopteri; Cypriniformes; Cyprinidae.